AAUCAACGCUGGCGGCGUGCCUCAGACAUGCAAGUCGAACGCGAAAGGCUCCUUCGGGGGCCGAGUAGAGUGGCGCACGGGUGAGUAACACGUAGGUAAUUUGCCUUUGGGUGGGGAAUAACUCAGGGAAACUUGAGCUAAUACCGCAUAAUGCAGCGGCUCGACAUCGAGACAGUUGUUAAAGCGGGGGAUCGCAAGACCUCGCGCCUGAAGAGAAGCCUGCGGCAGAUUAGCUAGUUGGUAGGGUAAUGGCCUACCAAGGCGACGAUCUGUAACCGGCCUGAGAGGGCGGUCGGUCACACUGACACUGACAUACGGGUCAGACUCCUACGGGAGGCAGCAGUCGGGAAUUUUGGGCAAUGGGCGCAAGCCUCGACCCAGCAA
Molecule: ribosomal RNA, 384 nt
Filed under: uncultured bacterium
Lineage: Bacteria
Description: bacterial SSU rRNA
Rfam family: Bacterial small subunit ribosomal RNA
Source: RNAcentral